AGGAACAUGUGGUUUAAUCGAUGAUACGCGAGGAACCUUACCUGGGCUUAAAUGUAGAGUGCAUUUUUUAGAGAUAGAAAUUCCCUUCGGGGCUUUCUGCAAGGUGCUGCAUGGUUGUCGUCAGCUCGUGCCGUGAGGUGUCGGGUUAAGUCCCAUAACGAGCGCAACCCUUAUCGUUAGUUGCCAGCUGGUAAAGCAGGGGACUCUAGCGAAACUGCCACCGUAAGGUGAGAGGAAGGUGGGAUGACGUCAAAUCAGCACGGCCCUUAUGUCCAGGGCUACACACGUGUUACAAUGGCCGGCACAGAGGGCAGCUACCUGGUGACAGGAUGCUAAUCUCGAAAACCGGUCUCAGUUCGGAUCGAAGUCUGCAACUCGACUUCGUGAAGCUGGAUUCGCUAGUAAUCGCGCAUCAGCCAUGGCGCGGUCGAAUACGUUCCCGGGCCUU
Molecule: ribosomal RNA, 448 nt
Filed under: uncultured Sphingobacteriales bacterium
Lineage: Bacteria; Pseudomonadati; Bacteroidota; Sphingobacteriia; Sphingobacteriales
Description: bacterial SSU rRNA
Rfam family: Bacterial small subunit ribosomal RNA
Source: RNAcentral